CGUAGGGUGCAAGCGUUAAUCGGAAUUACUGGGCGUAAAGCGUGCGCAGGCGGUUAUAUAAGACAGUUGUGAAAUCCCCGGGCUCAACCUGGGAACUGCAUCUGUGACUGUAUAGCUAGAGUACGGUAGAGGGGGAUGGAAUUCCGCGUGUAGCAGUGAAAUGCGUAGAUAUGCGGAGGAACACCGAUGGCGAAGGCAAUCCCCUGGACCUGUACUGACGCUCAUGCACGAAAGCGUGGGGAGCAAACAGGAUUAGAUACCCUGGUAGUCCACGCCCUAAACGAUGUCAACUGGUUGUUGGGUCUUCACUGACUCAGUAACGAAGCUAACGCGUGAAGCUGACCGCCUGGGGAGUACGGCCGCAAGGUUG
Molecule: ribosomal RNA, 370 nt
Filed under: uncultured organism
Description: bacterial SSU rRNA
Rfam family: Bacterial small subunit ribosomal RNA
Source: RNAcentral